UUUGCUAUUGACAUUUUAGGCUGACGUGGUUCUUAAAAUAAGCGCAAAGUUCCCCUAAAACAUUAUUGCAAACACAGUUGUUGUAGAGAUGCCACUUCCUAAAUAUACCACCAGAGCUAGUUUUGAGUUGGAACCUGGAGCUACUGGUCAAAGAACAGAUUUCAAAGAAGCAAAUAAGAAACUUGAAUGGGAUUUAAAAAAGAUUGUAGGUGGAUUUGAACAUACACUUCGCUCAAAGCCGACUUUUUCUCAGGAAUCACAUGGAAAUAUCACAAAGAA
Hibiscus syriacus is the source of this 279-nucleotide long non-coding RNA. RefSeq lists it as uncharacterized. The record is from RefSeq and is a predicted model, not a curated record. Lineage: Eukaryota; Viridiplantae; Streptophyta; Magnoliopsida; Malvales; Malvaceae. The transcript is spliced from 4 exons.